Molecule: unclassified non-coding RNA, 231 nt
Filed under: Hevea brasiliensis (rubber tree)
Lineage: Eukaryota; Viridiplantae; Streptophyta; Magnoliopsida; Malpighiales; Euphorbiaceae
Source: RNAcentral
GGAAGAAAUCCAUCCAAGCUGAAGUUGUUCAUCGUGGUGUGAUGUGGAACUCUAACUCUGCAGUUGAUAUGGAGCAUGUGGGAUCAUCUAUCGCUAAUCACCAAGUGAAUUCGGAGGUCUUUAACUUGCAGAGUUCUGCAUGUGUACCCAACUCAAGUACCAUUAGGGGUGAGGAAACCAGUCAACUUCAAAAUAAUUAUCAUUCUGAUUAUCGGAAGAACACUGAUCCCU